Caretta caretta (loggerhead turtle) is the source of this 4098-nucleotide non-coding RNA. The record is from RefSeq and is a predicted model, not a curated record. Lineage: Eukaryota; Metazoa; Chordata; Testudines; Cheloniidae.
GAAACAAAGGAAGAGUCCUCACAUGGUUUGUAAGUGGUAUCUUAGCUAACUCCCAACUUGUUCAUGAUCAGUAUAAUUGUGGCUAUUUUACAGGAAAUGUUUGUCUGUCUCUGAGCACAGCAACACUUGCUUAAUGCUACAGUACAAUGCAAAUACUUCCAAAAAUGGUUACGUGCCUCUCUCAACUGUUGAUGUGUUCCUUGUGUCCAUUCCAUGUCAGGUGUAUAUGCGCCCCACAUGCACUGGUGCCUAAAGCUUUUCCCCCAGUGGUAUCCAGAAUCGCCCAUGUAUGCGCUGGUAUAAGGGACACCGCUGUGCCCCUCCCCUCAUUUCCUUGCCAGAACUCCGACUCAGGGGAAGGAGAAUGCUCAUGUCCAUUCCAUGACCCAACACAUCUCAAAGAAAAAACAGGUUUUUCUUUAAGUGUUGUUCUUCGAGAUGUGUUGCUUAUAUCCAUUCCAAGUAGGUGCGUGCAUGCCGCAUGCACAAUCGUCAGAAAGUUUUUCCCUAGCAAUACUCAUCGGGUCGGCUGUGGAGCUCUGGCCCUGCUGACCCGCCGCCUCUUCAUUUCCUUCUUGCCGGAUUACGCCGACAGAGGGGAAGAGGAUGGGUCUUGGAAUGGACAUGAGCAACACAUCUCGAAGAACAAGAGUUACAAAAGGUAGAUAACAGUUUUUUCUUCUUUGCGUGAUUGCUCAUGUCAAUUCCAAGUAGGUGAUUCCAAGCAGUCCCCAGGAGGAGGGGCCAGAGUUCACAGAGUUGUAGACUGAAGCACUGCUCUACCAAACACAACAUCAUCUCUAGCCUGCUGGGUGAUGGCAUAGUGUGACAAAAAGAUGUCCUGACUGGGGACCUCUGCUAGGAAGCACGGCAGGAGUAACAGGAGGCACCAAUCUCAGUCCUCCUUCGGCCAGGGCUAGGGCUCAGCUAAGCAGCCUUCGAGCUCAAAGCCAAACUUUUGAAGGUGCACCCGAGGAUGGAGCACCAGUUCAAUGCCCGGAUCCUGCUCCUCCCUUUGUGAACCAUCUAUACCAUUUCUACCAUGCCUGGGCUCAAGUAACUUCAGACCACUGGGUCCUGAGCAUUGUAGAAUUGGGAUAUUCUCUCCAAUUCUGUUCCCUCCUUCUGUCCCACCCACCCUCCCUGUGUGCAGACCGAACCGGGACCAUAUAGACAGACUGGUCGUGGUCUCUCCUCAGGUUCUUGAGUCCCUCCAGUGGUAGCUCAAUCCACAAGCAGGUGGUGAUCUAGGAGAAAAUUCUCUGAGAUGACACUGGGAGACCCUUCAUCCUGUCAGCCACCACAAUGAAAAGUUGAGUAGACCUGCAGAAGGGCUUGGUUGGCUCAAAGUUGGCCAGGGCAUAUCUGAUGUUCAGAAUAUGCAAACGCAUCUCCUUGUUGGAAUUUUAUGGUUUUGGGAAGAACACUGGCAGGAAGAUACCCUGACUGACAUGGAACUGCGAUACCACCUUUGGCAUGAAGGCUGGGUUGGGGCACAGUUGGACUUUGUCCUUGUACAACACCGUAACAGAGGGAUUCUGAGGUCAGGGCCUUAAUCUUGGAGAUUCGUCUCACCAAAGUGAUGGCUACAAGGAGGGUGACCUUCCACAAAAGAUGUAAGAGAGCAGGAGGCAAGGGCCUCUAAGGGAGGACCAGUGAGCUUGGCAAGGACCAGGUUGAGAUCCCGUUAGGGAACCGGAUCAUGGACCUGCGGCAUUUAAGAGAUUCUUUAAACGCCUUGAAAGACUCUUUCUGCAGGUCCAUCAUCAUUGCUUGUAAGAAGACUGAUCUACCUUGGAUGUGAGAGUGGAAAGCCGAUAUGCCUGCCAGGUGCACCUUGACUGAUGAGUGUCAGACCUUGGUGCGUUAAAUGGAGCAGGUAUUCCAGAAUGGAUUGUAAAAAAAGACUUGAGCUGAAGAAAAGUUCCAUUCAGAUGCCCAGCAGGUGAAUUGUUUCUACUUAGCCAAGUUGCUCUGGUGGAGGGUUUUCUGUUUUGUUCCUCGAGGCUUAGCCAUACAGCAUCCAUGCUGUCAGGUUUAGUAGGGAGGCAAGGUUCGGGUCCCACGAGAGCAGAUCUGGGUGGUUGGCAAAUGUCCAAAGGGCUGCCGCCGCUAAAUCCAUGAGCAUGCCAAACCAAUGCUGGCAAAACCAUGCUGGGGCUAUCAUAAUGACUCACGGUUAGUCUGUCUUUAUCUUCAGGAGGACCUUGUUGAUGAGUGGGAUUGGUGGGAAGGUAUACAUCAGGUUGCCUGCCCAUGAUAGAAGAAAGGCAUUGGAUAGUGAACCGCUGUCGAGACCUGGCAGGGAACUUAACUGGUAGCAUUUUCUGUUUUGCCUGGUAGUCAAUGGGUCCAUUUGAGGAGUUCCCCACCUCUGGAAGAUGGUCCUGAUGACCUCUAGGUGGAGGGACCACUUACGGUGAGAGAAGAAGGACCUGCUAAGGCGAUCUGCCAGGGUGUUCCGGACCCCGGGGAAGCAAGGCUUCCAGAUAGAUAGUGUGUUGGAUACAGAAGUCUCACAGGCUAAGGGCUUCUGGGCAGAGGGCCAAUGACCACGCUCCCCCAUGUUUGCUGACAACGCUUGCACUACCUUGCCUGAGAGCUGGGGAAGGAAUAUUUCACAAGCCAGAUGGAUGGCCCUGAGCUCUCUGACCUUUAUAUUUAACAACAGCUCCUGUUGGCACCAUAAGCCUCGAGUCCUGAGGGACCAAGAUGGGCUCCCAACCCCAAGGCAUCUGACACCAGGGACCAUGGGGUUGCAAACGGAACUCCUCUGGUUACAUUGUGUGGGUUCAACCACCAUGCAAAGGAGGCCCAGCACUUGGCACGUGGCUUGGACUACAGACCUGUACUCUCAAGUGACCCUUGAUGAGCCAAUUGUCAAGGUAUGGGUAAAUUUGAACACCCUGAUGUCUGAGGUAGGCUGUGACCACUGCCAUACAUUUUGUAAACACUCUUGGGGCUGUUGCUAGGCCGAAUGGGAGCACUGUAAAUUGGCAGUGAGUCUGCCCGACGACGAAUCAUAGGAGCCUUCUGUUCCCAUGGAAAAUAGAAAUAUGGAAGUUCACAUUCUUUAAGUUGAGACGUACACGUCUCCAGGAUCCAGGGAGAGGAUGAUGGAGGCCAAAGAGACCAUGUGGAACUUCAACUUUUGAGAUAUUUGUUGAGGCCUUGCAGGGCCAAGAUUGGUUGUAGACCCCCUUUGGCCUUCAGUAUCAGAAAGCAGCAGGAGUAAAACCCUUUCCUUCUCAGUUCUUUUGAAAACUUCCUAUAUGGCCCCCCACCCACAACAGGGCAUGCACCUCCUGGGCGAGCAGUAACUCGUGAGAAGGGUCCCUGAAGAGGGACAGGGAAGGGUGGGGAGAAGAAGGGAUGGAAAAAAAUUGGAGGGUGUAUCUCACUGUUAUGGUGCUGAGCACUCACUCACUGAUCCAAUGUUAUAGUGGCCCAAGCAGGGAGGUAGGGAAAGAGACCAUUUGAAAAUAAAAGGGUGCUUGGAUCCUGGUUGUAGACUGGGAGGUCGCCCUUGGGGGCGACCUCAAAGUGUCUGCUUAUUUCCAGGUGUGUACUGGGUAGAGCCCGACUGGGUGAAUGUGGCCAGUGCUUCUUUCAGUAGGGCUCUGAUCUGGUCUGGCCUACAAAUCUCUGAGGCUGCUGGGGUUUAAAUCGCUUCCUUGCAGGCACAGGAGUAUAAAGGCCCAGGGAGUGUAAUGUAACCCUAAGGUCUUUCAGACCAUGCAACCAUCUGUUUAGGAAACACAUUCAAUCCAUAAAAAAGGGAGAUCCUGAAUGGACUGCUGGACCUCCGUGGAAAGGCCUGAGGACUGCAGCCAUGAUACCCAUCUUGUUGAAAUGGCCAACACCAUCGUUCUGGCUGCGGAGUUGGCUGCGUCAGAGGCCUCCUGGAGGGAAGCCCUCACCUCAGUCUUACCCUCUUUAUGUAUGGCCAGAAACUCCUGCCUGGAUUCCUGUGGCAGUGAGUCUGCAAACUUCGCCAUGGAUUGCCACACAUUGAAAUCAUACCUCCUGUGCCGGGCUUGGUGGUUUGCGACACGCAAGUGGAGGCUGGCAGUUGAAUAAACUUCUCUGCGGAAAAGA